AUUUCAAAGCUUGUUUUAGUGCAUUAUGCUAUUUUAC
RNAcentral lists this non-coding RNA (37 nucleotides) under Methanococcus aeolicus Nankai-3. The record is from RNAcentral. Lineage: Archaea; Methanobacteriati; Methanobacteriota; Methanococci; Methanococcales; Methanococcaceae.